This 485-nucleotide ribosomal RNA is filed under the name uncultured bacterium. Its description in RNAcentral is "partial 16S ribosomal RNA". It matches the Rfam family "Bacterial small subunit ribosomal RNA", at positions 29 to 507 of the family's 1533-position model. The record is from RNAcentral.
AUGAACGCUAGCGGCAGGCUUAACACAUGCAAGUCGAGGGGCAGCGCGGGAUAGCAAUAUCCUGGCGGCGACCGGCGGAAGGGUGCGUAACGCGUGAGCGACAUGCCCGUUGCCCGGGGACAACCGGUGGAAACGCCGACUAAUCCCCGAUGGGAUAUUGUGCCGCAUGGCACGAUAUUGAAAGUUACGGCGGCGACGGAUUGGCUCGCGUCCGAUUAGCUUGUUGGCGGGGUAACGGCCCACCAAGGCUGCGAUCGGUAGGGGUUCUGCGAGGAAGGCCCCCCACAAUGGGACUGAGACACGGCCCAUACUCCUACGGGAGGCAGCAGUGAGGAAUAUUGGUCAAUGGGCGGAAGCCUGAACCAGCCAUGCCGCGUGCGGGAAGGAGGCCCUAUGGGCUGUGAACCGCUUUUGCCUGGGGGCAAUAAGGGCGUCGCGCACGUCCGAUGAGAGUACCAGGCGAAUAAGCAUCGGCUAACUCCGUG